GAUGAACGCUGGCGGCGUGCCUAACACAUGCAAGUCGAGCGGCAGCGAGGGGUGCUUGCACCCUGUCGGCGAGCGGCGGACGGCUGAGUAACGCGUGGGAACGUGCCCCAAAGUGAGGAAUAACUGCCCGAAAGGGUAGCUAAUACCGCAUAUUAUCUUCGGAUCAAAGGAUUUAUCCGCUUUGGGAGCGGCUCGCGUCGGAUUAGGUAGUUGGUGAGGUAAUGGCUCACCAAGCCGACGAUCCGUAGCUGGUCUGAGAGGAUGACCAGCCAGACUGGAACUGAGACACGGUCCAGACUCCUACGGGAGGCAGCAGUGAGGAAUCUUCCACAAUGGGCGAAAGCCUGAUGGAGCAACGCCGCGUGCAGGACGAAGGCCUUCGGGUUGUAAACUGCUUUUAUAAGUGAGGAAUAUGGCGGUAACUUAUGAAUAAGGAUCGGCUAACUACGUG
RNAcentral lists this ribosomal RNA (451 nucleotides) under uncultured bacterium. RNAcentral describes it as "partial 16S ribosomal RNA". It matches the Rfam family "Bacterial small subunit ribosomal RNA", at positions 28 to 507 of the family's 1533-position model. The record is from RNAcentral.